Molecule: ribosomal RNA, 497 nt
Filed under: uncultured bacterium
Lineage: Bacteria
Description: partial 16S ribosomal RNA
Rfam family: Bacterial small subunit ribosomal RNA
Source: RNAcentral
GACGAACGCUGGCGGCGUGCCUAAUACAUGCAAGUCGAACGCUGAAGAGAGGAGCUUGCUCUUCUUGGCUGAGUUGCGAACGGGUGAGUAACGCGUAGGUAACCUGCCUUGUAGCGGGGGAUAACUAUUGGAAACGAUAGCUAAUACCGCAUAACAAUAGGUGACACAUGUCAUUUAUUUGAAAGGGGCAAUUGCUCCACUACAAGAUGGACCUGCGUUGUAUUAGCUAGUAGGUGAGGUAACGGCUCACCUAGGCGACGAUACAUAGCCGACCUGAGAGGGUGAUCGGCCACACUGGGACUGAGACACGGCCCAGACGCCUACGGGAGGCAGCAGUAGGGAAUCUUCGGCAAUGGGGGCAACCCUGACCGAGCAACGCCGCGUGAGUGAAGAAGGUUUUCGGAUCGUAAAGCUCUGUUGUAAGUCAAGAACGAGUGUGAGAGUGGAAAGUUCACACUGUGACGGUAGCUUACCAGAAAGGGACGGCUAACUACGUG